Molecule: long non-coding RNA, 1708 nt
Organism: Poecilia latipinna (sailfin molly)
Lineage: Eukaryota; Metazoa; Chordata; Actinopteri; Cyprinodontiformes; Poeciliidae
Exons: 4
Source: RefSeq, a predicted model, not a curated record
UGUACAGUGCUUUUUGUCACUGACUGUGUGUGAUGUGUUUCGUGUGCUGAGGAGCGAACAGAAACAGCAAAGACCAGUUUCCUUGCCUCAUGGCAGGGGGCGCUCAUGAUCCCAGACAUUGGUGUUGUGACUCCACAUCUCCAGAGUAAGAGACAGUGAGCUAGCCAUACAGUAAAUAAGUCAAGUGCAGCGAUAGAUUUGUUUUCUCUUCUCUUCCGAUGUCAACAUGGAUCACUAUAUUUCCACACUUAAACAGUUUUCUAAAGUGGAUUUUCAAUCGAAGCAGGAAAUAAUAAAUAAAGGAAGACCAACACCAGAGCUGAAAGGUUUGCUUCAAACUACGAGACAAAAGGAUAUUGUUUUUUUCAAAUGAAGUACAAGAAAAGACGUGCUUUGUGAAUGUCAUCCUAGAAAUUGCCUUUUCUGCUACCCUUUUCAUCUUUUCUCAACUUGUGUCGAGGAUACACUUGGCUUUGGAUGAACUGACAUUUUGUGCAGAAUGGGCGGUGCCUGGACUUCAUUUAUAAGUAAAGGUGAACCUCCGCCUCUCAACUGAUGACUGCUAGAGAUGGGCAGCACCAGCCCCCCUCACCAACCUGUAAGGAUCAGUGUGUUCAGAUCAUGGAUGGAAAGUUUUUAAGGCAAAGAAGUCACUGAGAAAUGUUUCCACCCCAGGCAUCUGGUCCCAAUCAUCAUCAGUUCUGAUUAUGUCACAUACAUAGAGAGUCCACAACGUCUUGAAAUUGUUUCUGUAAAGUGCAGUGGUCCAGUGAAUGGAAAUGUUCUGUCGGUGAUCCUCACUGUUCUUAGGAUGGAGAAAUGCCAGUUUGUCUGCAGUAAUACUGGGACAUUGUAUCAAAACGUUACUCUGUCCUUGGUGAAAUAUUUUUCACAUUUCCUCCAAAGUUUACCUAUUGUUUUAUUGUGCUAAUUUUCAUAAGCAUGUUGUCUGUAAACUUUGAAUGUAUUGACAAUUUGUACAAUUCUGUUUUAGUAUAUUGGCAAUGUACUCUUGAAAAAUGUGAAUAUAUUGAAUACACAAUGUAAUUAGUUUCACCUGUAAAGUGUGUUGUAAUGGAUCCUUCUGUGUUCUGGUAACCUGAUGUGUGUAUGAAGCAUGUAAUGUACAAAGUGGCAAAGAAUAAUAAAAGACAGUAACUAAAAAGUGUAAUUUAUUAGCAAUUAUAAUAAACCAAAACUGUAAUUGUAGCUUCCUGUUGCAUGCUACAAUGUUUUGUCAAAGCUGUCUGGUAUUUGGGAAAGUUAAUUUUAUCAGCCUUGACUAAAACUCCAGUUCCAUCCAAAGAAAAACAAACCCAAAUCACAAUGUUGCAACAUGUUUCACUGGCAGCAUGGUGUUCUUUUGGUUUUCAUGUGCCCAACGUUGCUUUAAGCUCAAUUUCAUCAGGUGUGUGAAAAUUGUAUCCAAGACUUUUUCUGAAAACACAAAUAUUUAGUUAUAGAUCACUUAAAUUUUAGUUUCUAUGAGACACUACAAAAUACAUCUAAUAGAAAAAGUGUUGAAAUGUGGUGUCUUAUGUUGCAAACACAUCAAAUGUGCUUUUUCUUAAGCAGGACAUGCGCCUGCUGCAGCUGGAAAUGGCACACUGUGUCUGAAAAUAAAGUGAACAGGGUGAAUAGUCCAGAGUGCAGCUCCACAGAGCACUGAAGGUGACGCUUUCAACUCAUGGUUCUAAUGGUCCAUUCA